RNAcentral lists this ribosomal RNA (105 nucleotides) under Bos taurus (domestic cattle). The record is from RNAcentral. Lineage: Eukaryota; Metazoa; Chordata; Mammalia; Artiodactyla; Bovidae. RNAcentral also lists the same sequence under 2 other names.
GUCUAUGACCACACCACCCUUACAGCACUGGAUCUCAUCUGAUCUCAGAAGCUAAGCAGGGUUGGGCCUGGUUAGUACUUGGAUGGGAAACAGUCUUCGCAGAUG